GACCCCAUAGUUCAAUGGAUAGAACGAGAAUCUCCUAAGUUCUAGAUCCACGUUCGAUUCGUGGUGGGGUCA
This 72-nucleotide transfer RNA is filed under the name Candidatus Magasanikiibacteriota bacterium. RNAcentral's name for it is "Candidatus Magasanikbacteria bacterium tRNA-Arg". It matches the Rfam family "tRNA". Rfam says of the family: Transfer RNA (tRNA) molecules are approximately 80 nucleotides in length. Their secondary structure includes four short double-helical elements and three loops (D, anti-codon, and T loops). Further hydrogen bonds mediate the characteristic L-shaped molecular structure. tRNAs have two regions of fundamental functional importance: the anti-codon, which is responsible for specific mRNA codon recognition, and the 3' end, to which the tRNAs corresponding amino acid is attached (by aminoacyl-tRNA synthetases). tRNAs cope with the degeneracy of the genetic code in two manners: having more than one tRNA (with a specific anti-codon) for a particular amino acid; and 'wobble' base-pairing, i.e. permitting non-standard base-pairing at the 3rd anti-codon position. Lineage: Bacteria; Candidatus Magasanikiibacteriota. The record is from RNAcentral.